UGGGGAAUAUUGCACAAUGGGCGCAAGCCUGAUGCAGCCAUGCCGCGUGUAUGAAGAAGGCCUUCGGGUUGUAAAGUACUUUCAGCGGGGAGGAAGGGAGUAAAGUUAAUACCUUUGCUCAUUGACGUAACCCGCAGAAGAAGCACCGGCUAACUCCGUGCCAGCAGCCGCGGUAAUACGGAGGGUGCAAGCGUUAAUCGGAAUUACUGGGCGUAAAGCGCACGCAGGCGGUUUGUUAAGUCAGAUGUGAAGUCCCCGGGCUCAACCUGGGAACUGCAUCUGAUACUGGCAAGCUUGAGUCUCGUAGAGGGGGGUAGAAUUCCAGGUGUAGCGGUGAAAUGCGUAGAGAUCUGGAGGAAUACCGGUGGCGAAGGCGGCCCCCUGGACGAAGACUGACGCUCAGGUGCGAAAGCGUGGGGAGCAAACAGG
This 429-nucleotide ribosomal RNA is filed under the name Chloroflexota bacterium. Its description in RNAcentral is "Chloroflexi bacterium partial 16S ribosomal RNA". It matches the Rfam family "Bacterial small subunit ribosomal RNA", at positions 355 to 776 of the family's 1533-position model. The record is from RNAcentral. Lineage: Bacteria; Bacillati; Chloroflexota.